UUUUUUUUUUUCUGUCUUUUUGCCUUUUCUAGGUCCACACCAGUGGCAUAUGGAGAUUCCCAGGCUAAGGGUCGAAUCGGACCUGUAGCCACCGGCCUACGCCAGAGCCACAGCAAUGCCAGAUCUGAGCCGUGUCUGCAACCUACACCACAGCUCAUGGCAACGCCAGAUCCCUAACCCACUGAGCAAGGCCGGGUAUCAAACCCAUAACCUCUUGGUUCCUAGUCGGAUUCAUUAACCACUAAGCCACAACGGGAACUCCUGAAUCUGCAUUUUAAAAGCCAUACUAUAUUAGAUUAUAUAGAAAUAUAUGGAAUUUGUACUUUUAUCAAGUAAUUGAGCUUAAUUAAUGUUUUGAAAACUGAAGCUGUUUUACUAAGAGAGAUAUGUGGAACUGGUAGGGGAUGGAAAAGCACUUUGAAAAAGUCACCCAAAUAAAGUAUAUGUGUGUUUGUUGUGUGUAUAAAAUAUAUAUAUGUAUAUGUGUGUGUAUGUGUAUACAUGUAUUGGGCAUGGGCAUGUAGCUUCAUGGUGAAGAAGAGUCAGGAGUGAAUGCAGCUGAGGCUUCAUCAAGCCCAUAAUUCUGAAAUCUAAUUGGACAUUUGUACAUGAAAGUAUGCCAACUGAAGUGAGGUAAUUUGGUACUGUGUGCUAUGUACAGCAAUUAUAUAUAAAAUUGUCAUCUAAAACCAUAAAUGAAAUUUGGCAGCAAUGCACUCCCCCCAGCAAAAUGCAGUUUUUCAUAGAAUCAGAGACCCUAUGAAUGGUUCCAUUUCUUUGCAAACUCUACUAAACAAAACCUAAAGCCAACUGGUACACAGGCCAAUCCUGAUGUUUCUAUUGAAACAUCAGAAAUGGCACUGUGUAUUGUAUGUUAUUUUGGAGCUUGUGAUGGGAGAUGGAAUGGGGUGGUGAAAAUCCCUACAAGUCUAAAGGGCAUCACCAGGCAUGUGUGGUCCUAUGAAUGGACCAUGUCAAUCCAUUAAGAACCAAGUGCUUUUCUUGUCAGAGUAUAAUUUGAUGGUGAUGAAGGCUUUAUGUGUCCUCUGUUGUUUCUGAAAAGAAAUAGGAAAUAUACUAUUUAGAUUCUAAGGCAACUAAAAUAGAGGCAUUUGUGGCAGAUGGGAUUUUUAUGAGCUGUUUGUCACCAUAUACCAGUCUUGUUAAGAAGCAAUCGUUUUCUGCUUCAUUACACUAAGAUAGCUCUGUUUAGGGUUCCACUCAGCUGUGAAAUGAUUUUAAAACUCCUGUAAGGAGUCUAGAUGGUUUUUUUAUAUAUAAUAAAAGACUGUUGACAAAAAAUGUACUAAAACACAAAAAAAGUGGUCAAACGCACUAUUUUUUAUGUCAGGGAAAUAGAGAUAUGCUGAAUCUCCUACUUAUGCUUAAUCUGCUCAUUUAUGCCAACAGAAAAAACUACAUAAUACUUUUAUUUUCUUCACCUAAGAAAGGUAAGAGCUCCUUUUAUGUUUUUACAAAGUCUUCAAGGCAUAUAUCAUAUAAAUAUAAAGGGAAAAGUACUUGAGCAAGGAGCAGUUUCAGCUUAAAAUAUGUAAAAAGAAAAACAAAUUUAGUAAAUGCAAGAAGUAUAUUUCUAAUGGCUUUACUUUCCUCAGAACUAAUCCACUUUUAGGUUUCUUUUCAUAUUUGGUCAUGGUUUUAAAGGAUUGACAUUGGGGCCAGGAGGAGAUGAAGGUUGUUUUGUUUUGCCACCAUUAGGCAUUUGGAACUUCCCAGUCUAGGGUUCAAAGUGAAUCAGAGUUGCAGCUGCCAGCCUACACCACAGCCACAGUAACACUGGAUCCAAGUCACGUCUACAACCUACACCACAGCUCAUGGCAACACCGGAUAUUUAACCCACUGAGAGAGGCCAGGGAUCAAACCAUCAUGGUUACUUGUUGGGUUCGUUACUACUGAGCCACAGUGGGAACUCCAGAAGCUUCUUACUUUAAAGAUUACAAAUUUAUCUUGUCACCGUUCCUGGCUCUAAUCCCCUCAGUGUAAUUCAGGGAAGUCAGGAGGGCUUGAUUCAAACCCCGACCCAGCCACUUACUUAUGUUACCCUGGGUACAUGAAUUAACCUUUCUGAGCCUCAUUUUUCUUAUUAAUAAAAAGAAUAUUGGCAACACAAAUGUUGCAGUAUCAGAUGUUUAUUGCCCCAAUGAUGCUGCAUAAGAAAUAACCACAAAACCUCAAUGGUAAUAUUUAGCUUAUAAAUCUGUGAGAUUCAGUCGAUUUAGGCUGAACUCAAUCAGGCUUAGCUGUGCACAUUUGUGUGUCUACAGUGUGGCUGGCCUGCUCAUGUCUGUGGGUUGGCUCUGCUAGGGCUUGGCUUGCUGUUGGCUGAUCUAUGACAACUUCAGCUUACAGUGUUAGGGCAAUCUUGCCCUGCUUCAUGUGUCUCCCAUCCUCCAGGCAGCUAGCCAGGGCCCAUUCUCAUGAAUAGUGGUGAAGGUGCUAAGAGAGAACAAACCCAAUUACACAAGAUAUUUUUCAAGCCCUUGCAUGCACCACAUUUGCUUACCUCAAAGGACCGAAGCAAGUCACAUGGCCCAGGACAGAACCAGGUGGGAGGGUUCUACACAGCGGUUUGGCAAAAAGUGAAGAACUGGGCCAUUAACACCAUCAAUCUGCAUACUUGCUGAUGUUUAUAAAAACUGAGGCAUCUUAUGAGUGUUUAUGAAGCCACACGCAUAGCACUUGGUACCCAGCAGGCACUCAGUAAAUGUUAGUUUCCUUCCCUCCUAAAUGUUCCCAGUCUUUCUAAGCCUUUCCUCAAUUAAUCUCCUAAGAUUUGUCUAUUCAAAAGACCAAAUAAAAAUAAAAAUUAUUAUAUAAAGGACCUGUAAUUUUCUCUUUCUCAAACCAUGGUACUCAGCCUCAGGGAGACAAGAAACCAUGCGACACAUCUUAAAUAUUUUAUGCAAAAAUUAGGAAAACAAAAUAUGAUUUUUAUGCUGAAAUACAUUCAGGUAACAUAUUGACUGCUUUGGGCUCCACUGGAAGUGGGUGGCAUGUAACAUAGUCUCUUUGCUCUGCUCUUUGGGGUGAGGUAC
Molecule: long non-coding RNA, 3056 nt
Filed under: Sus scrofa (pig)
Lineage: Eukaryota; Metazoa; Chordata; Mammalia; Artiodactyla; Suidae
Description: lncRNA (ENSSSCG00030065218.1)
Source: RNAcentral